UGCCAGACUCCUACGGGAGGCAGCAGUGGGGGAUAUUGCACAAUGGGGGGAACCCUGAUGCAGCGACGCCGCGUGGGUGAAGAAGCGCCUCGGCGCGUAAAGCCCUGUCAGCAGGGAAGAAAAUGACGGUACCUGAAGAAGAAGCCCCGGCUAACUACGUGCCAGCAGCCGCGGUAAUACGUAGGGGGCAAGCGUUAUCCGGAUUUACUGGGUGUAAAGGGGGCGCAGACGGCGAUGCAAGCCAGGAGUGAAAGCCCGGGGCCCAACCCCGGGACUGCUCUUGGAACUGCGCGGCUGGAGUGCAGGAGGGGCAGGCGGAAUUCCUGGUGUAGCGGUGAAAUGCUUAGAUAUAACUUAGAACUCCGAUAGCGAAGGCAGCUUACCAGACUGCGACUGACGCUGAAGCACGAGAGCGUGGGUAGCGAACAGGAUUAGAUACCCCCGUAAG
This 448-nucleotide ribosomal RNA is filed under the name uncultured bacterium. Its description in RNAcentral is "partial 16S ribosomal RNA". It matches the Rfam family "Bacterial small subunit ribosomal RNA", at positions 329 to 793 of the family's 1533-position model. The record is from RNAcentral.